CUACGGGGCGCUCCAGUGGGGAAUAUUGCACAAUGGGCGCAAGCCUGAUGCAGCCAUGCCGCGUGUAUGAAGAAGGCCUUCGGGUUGUAAAGUACUUUCAGCGGGGAGGAAGGGAGUAAAGUUAAUACCUUUGCUCAUUGACGUUACCCGCAGAAGAAGCACCGGCUAACUCCGUGCCAGCAGCCGCGGUAAUACGGAGGGUGCAAGCGUUAAUCGGAAUUACUGGGCGUAAAGCGCACGCAGGCGGUUCGUUAAGUCAGAUGUGAAAUCCCCGGGCUCAACCUGGGGACUGCAUCUGAUACUGGCAAGCUUGAGUCUCGUAGAGGGGGGUAGAAUUCCAGGUGUAGCGGUGAAAUGCGUAGAGAUCUGGAGGAAUACCGGUGGCGAAGGCGGCCCCCUGGACGAAGACUGACGCUCAGGUGCGAAAGCGUGGGGAGCAAACAGGAUUAGAUACCCGAGUAGUC
This 464-nucleotide ribosomal RNA is filed under the name uncultured bacterium. RNAcentral describes it as "partial 16S ribosomal RNA". It matches the Rfam family "Bacterial small subunit ribosomal RNA", at positions 339 to 795 of the family's 1533-position model. The record is from RNAcentral.